This 1320-nucleotide non-coding RNA is filed under the name Streptomyces varsoviensis. RNAcentral describes it as "bacterial LSU rRNA". It matches the Rfam family "Bacterial large subunit ribosomal RNA", at positions 328 to 1518 of the family's 2925-position model. The record is from RNAcentral. Lineage: Bacteria; Bacillati; Actinomycetota; Actinomycetes; Kitasatosporales; Streptomycetaceae.
UGUAGGCGAAGGACAUGCGAAAGGUCCGGCGUAGAGGGUAAGACCCCCGUAGCUGAAACAUCAGCGGCUUGUUUGAGAGACACCCAAGUAGCACGGGGCCCGAGAAAUCCCGUGUGAAUCUGGCGGGACCACCCGCUAAGCCUAAAUAUUCCCUGGUGACCGAUAGCGGAUAGUACCGUGAGGGAAUGGUGAAAAGUACCGCGGGAGCGGAGUGAAAUAGUACCUGAAACCGUGUGCCUACAAGCCGUGGGAGCGUCGCUGUGUGUGCUUGCACAUGCAGUCGUGACUGCGUGCCUUUUGAAGAAUGAGCCUGCGAGUUUGCGGUGUGUUGCGAGGUUAACCCGUGUGGGGAAGCCGUAGCGAAAGCGAGUCCGAAUAGGGCGUUGAGUAGCGCGCUCAAGACCCGAAGCGGAGUGAUCUAGCCAUGGGCAGGUUGAAGCGGAGGUAAGACUUCGUGGAGGACCGAACCCACCAGGGUUGAAAACCUGGGGGAUGACCUGUGGUUAGGGGUGAAAGGCCAAUCAAACUCCGUGAUAGCUGGUUCUCCCCGAAAUGCAUUUAGGUGCAGCGUCGUGUGUUUCUUGCCGGAGGUAGAGCACUGGAUAGGCGAUGGGCCCUACCGGGUUACUGACCUUAGCCAAACUCCGAAUGCCGGUAAGUGAGAGCGCGGCAGUGAGACUGUGGGGGAUAAGCUCCAUGGUCGAGAGGGAAACAGCCCAGAGCAUCGACUAAGGCCCCUAAGCGUACGCUAAGUGGGAAAGGAUGUGGAGUCGCAGAGACAACCAGGAGGUUGGCUUAGAAGCAGCCAUCCUUGAAAGAGUGCGUAAUAGCUCACUGGUCAAGUGAUUCCGCGCCGACAAUGUAGCGGGGCUCAAGCGUACCGCCGAAGUCGUGUCAAUCAGACAUGAGGGCUAACGCCCGUCUGGUUGGGUAGGGGAGCGUCGUGUGCCGGGUGAAGCAGCCGUGUAAGCGAGUUGUGGAUGGUUCACGAGUGAGAAUGCAGGCAUGAGUAGCGAUUCACACGUGGGAAACGUGUGCGCCGAUUGACUAAGGGUUCCUGGGUCAAGCUGAUCUGCCCAGGGUAAGUCGGGACCUAAGGCGAGGCCGACAGGCGUAGUCGAUGGACAACCGGUUGAUAUUCCGGUACCCGCUUUGAAGCGCCCAAUAUCGAAUCCUCUGAUGCUAAGGCCGUGAAGCCGCCCUGAGCUCUUCGGAGCGUAGGGGAGUGGUGGAGCCGCUGACCCUAGGUGGUAGUAGGUAAGUGAUGGGGUGACGCAGGAAGGUAGUCCAGCCCGGGCGGUGGUUGUCCCGGGGUAAGGG